GGGGACAGGAGCGGGACCAGCCUGGGGACAGCCCGGGGACAGGAGCGGGACAGGAGCGGGGACAGGAGCGGGGACAGCCUGGGGACAGCCUGGGGACAGGACCGGGACAGAAGCGGGACAGGAUCGGGGACAGCCCGGGGACAGGAGCGGGGCCAGCCUGGGGACAGCCUGGGGACAGGACCGGGACAGGAGCGGGACAGGAGCGGGGACAGCCCGGGGCCAGCCUGGGGACAGGAGCGGGACAGAAGCGGGACAGGAUCGGGGACAGCCCGGGGACAGGAGCGGGGACAGGGACAAGCCAGGCUCCGAUGCUCCAAGCGUUUAUUCACCCCUGGACACAGCGAGUCCGGGGUUCCCCCAGACCGGGAGGCCACAGGCCCGUGGGGUCCCCCGGGACGCUGCAGGGUCCCCCGGGACGCUGUGGGGUCCCCCGGGACAUUGUGGGGUUCCCCAGGACGCUGCAGGGUCCCCCAGGACGCUGCAGGGUCCCCCGGGACGCUGUGGGGUUCCCCAGGACGCUGUGGGGUCCCCCGGGACAUUGUGGGGUUCCCCAGGACGCUGUGGGGUCCCCCGGGACGCUGCAGGGUCCCCCGGGACGCUGGGGAGGUCCCUGCAGUUCUGGGGGUCCCCUGGAGGCUGCGGGGGUCCCUCCAUCCCCACUCGGGGGGACAGGGGGACACGGCCCUGCAAGCUCCCCAGUGCCAGGGGGGGUCUGGGGUCCCCGCGGGGUUCAGGGGGUCCCCACACCAUUGGGGGGUUGUGGGGUCCCUGCGUCCCCCUCUGUGGAGAGGCCAGUGAGGUCCCGCAGCCUCGUGGUGCCCCGGGGACUUUUGGGGGGUCCCUGCACCCCCAUUUCUGGGGGCUCUGGAGAUCCCCCUCCACUGUGGUGACCCGGGGGGGUUUGGGGGCUCCCCGCACCCCCAGUUCCGGGAGGGUUUCCGAGGUGCUCGCAGCCCCUGUGCUCGGGGGUUUGGGGCGCCCCCACGGCGGGGUGCCCCCACGGCGGGGUGCCUCCAUGGUGGGUGCCCCCACGGCGGGGUGCCCCCACGGCGGGGUGCCUCCAUGGUGGGUGCCCCCACGGCGGGGUGCCCCCACGGCGGGGUGCCCGUGCAGCAUCAGCAGCGCCGGUGUCGGGGGGCCGGAGGGGUCCCCGCAGGCUCCGGGCGGGGGGCACCGCCCCGGG
This 1183-nucleotide long non-coding RNA is filed under the name Lonchura striata (white-rumped munia). RNAcentral's name for it is "domestica (Bengalese finch) lncRNA (ENSLSDG00000003663.1)". The record is from RNAcentral. Lineage: Eukaryota; Metazoa; Chordata; Aves; Passeriformes; Estrildidae.